RNAcentral lists this unclassified non-coding RNA (835 nucleotides) under uncultured Mycena. RNAcentral's name for it is "sequence contains ITS1, 5.8S rRNA gene and ITS2". The stretch from base 299 to 452 matches the Rfam family "5.8S ribosomal RNA". The record is from RNAcentral. Lineage: Eukaryota; Fungi; Basidiomycota; Agaricomycetes; Agaricales; Tricholomataceae.
AAGUCGUAACAAGGUUUCCGUAGGUGAACCUGCGGAAGGAUCAUUAUUGAACUAAGUCGGAUUCGAUGCUGGCCCUUAACCCGGGCAUGUGCUCGUCCUUCAUUUUUCUAACCUUCUUUAUGUGCACAUUUGUAUGCCCCUGAGUAACGAGCGCCUCUCGCAGCAAUGCGGUUUGCUUGGGACUGACGGCCUGGUCGUCUUUCCUGCAAUGCUCUCUGGGGGCUACGUUUUUAUAUACAAGUCAGUUGUAGAAUGUCUUUUAAUGACUGUUGCCUAGCGCAUGGUCUUAAACAAUUACAACUUUCAGCAACGGAUCUCUUGGCUCUCCCAUCGAUGAAGAACGCAGCGAAAUGCGAUAAGUAAUGUGAAUUGCAGAAUUCAGUGAAUCAUCGAAUCUUUGAACGCACCUUGCGCCCUUUGGUAUUCCGAAGGGCAUGCCUGUUUGAGUGUCAUUAAAUUAUCAACCUUGCUCGCUUUUACCGGCUUGAGCUGAGGCUUGGACGUGGGGGUUUUUGCUGGCUUCCUUCAGUGGAUGGUCUGCUCCCCUUAAAUUCAUUAGCGGGAUCUCUUGUGGACCGUCACUUGGUGUGAUAAUUAUCUAUGCCGUUUGACCUUGAAGCAAAUUUAUGGGACCCUGCUUAUAACCGUCUCUUACCGGGACAAUUUAAUAACAUCUUGACCUCAAAUCAGGUAGGACUACCCGCUGAACUUAAGCAUAUCAAUAAGCGGAGGAAAAGAAACUAACAAGGAUUCCCCUAGUAACUGCGAGUGAAGCGGGAAAAGCUCAAAUUUAAAAUCUGGCGGUCUUCGGCCGUCCGAGUUGUAAUUUAGAGAA